RNAcentral lists this long non-coding RNA (1118 nucleotides) under Sus scrofa (pig). RNAcentral's name for it is "lncRNA (ENSSSCG00070023361.1)". Lineage: Eukaryota; Metazoa; Chordata; Mammalia; Artiodactyla; Suidae. The record is from RNAcentral.
AUAUCCCAAGCUAGAUCUUGGGGGAGGAGCCUGUGCAGGCAAAGGAGAAGUCAGCUCCGGAAGCAGCUGUCAAUCAAGUACAAUCCUUCCAGCGCUAGCAUCUUGGGAGAAGACACUGCUUCCCAAGUCUUUACACCUUUGAGAUGGCACCAGAGACAUCACGCGGGAAUUUGGCUUCCCCCAGCUCUUACUAAAUGGGUAUUCAUUGUGGAAGAUUUGAAAACUCAACAAGUAAAAAGAAGAAAGGAAAACGACGUCAUUAUCCUAACCAUGAAGAGACAACCAUGAAGAGCUCGGUUUAGGGAUUUAAAUACAUAUUUUCCAGAGUUCCUGUCGUGGCUCAGUGGUUAACAAAUCUGACUAGCAUCCAUGAGGAUGCGGGUUGAUUCCUAGCCUCCCUCAGUGGGUUAAGGAUCCAGCAUCGCCGUGAGCUUGGAUCUGGUGUUGCUGUGGCAUAGGCCUGCAACUGUUGCUCCAAUUCGAUCCCUAGCCUGGGAACCUCCAUAUGCCACAGGUGUGGCCCUAAAAAGACAAAAGACAAAAAAAAUUACAUAUUUUCCUCCAUGAUUAAGUCUCUAUUUGUAUUUUGGUCACCUAGGACUUGUGAUAGUGCCCUUUGAUAUACAAAAUUUAAAAAUUUGACAAAGUCCAAAUUAUCUAUUUUUCCUUUCAUCACUUUGGCUUUUGGUGUCAUAUCUAAGAAUCCAUUACCAAAGCCAAGGUCUUAAUGACUUACCCCUAUGUUUUCUUCUUGGAAUUUUAUUGUUUUUUUCACUUACAUUAGGUCUUCGAUCCCUCUUGACUUUAAAGUUUUGUAUAUGCUGGUGAACAAGCCUUGGAAUUUUUUUUUUUUUUAAUGGCUGUACCUGUGGCAUAUGGAAGUUCCCAGGGCAGGGAUUAAAUUUGAGCUGCAGUUGUGACCUACUCCACAGUUGCAGCGAUGCUGGUGCACUGGGCUAGGGAUUGAACCAGCACUGCCACAAAGACAAGCUAUAUUGUUUACGCAUUGUGCCACAGUGGGAACUCCCUGGAAUUUUUUUAAAGCAUCUAUGAUUCUAGUGGAAGUCAAGGUUGAGAAUCGAGGCUCUGAACAGGAGUUCCCGUCCUGGCCCAGUGGA